This 301-nucleotide ribosomal RNA is filed under the name uncultured bacterium. Its description in RNAcentral is "partial 16S ribosomal RNA". It matches the Rfam family "Bacterial small subunit ribosomal RNA", at positions 509 to 807 of the family's 1533-position model. The record is from RNAcentral.
CAGUAGCCGCGGUAAUACGAAGGGUGCAAGCGUUAAUCGGAAUUACUGGGCGUAAAGCGUGCGCAGGCGGUUUGUUAAGACAGAUGUGAAAUCCCCGGGCCCAACCUGGGAACUGCAUUUGUGACUGGCAAGCUAGAGUGUGGCAGAGGGGGGUGGAAUUCCGCAUGUAGCAGUGAAAUGCGUAGAUAUGCGGAGGAACACCGAUGGCGAAGGCAGCCCCCAGGGCCAACACUGACGCUCAUGCACGAAAGCAUGGGGAGCAAACAGGAUUAGAUACCCGUGUAGUCCCUGUCUCUUAUAC